Molecule: ribosomal RNA, 445 nt
Filed under: uncultured bacterium
Lineage: Bacteria
Description: partial 16S ribosomal RNA
Rfam family: Bacterial small subunit ribosomal RNA
Source: RNAcentral
GUGAGGAAUAUUGCGCAAUGGAGGCAACUCUGACGCAGCCAUGCCGCGUGCAGGAAGAAGGCGCUACGCGUUGUAAACUGCUUUUAACCGGGAAGAAACCCCAGGACGUGUCCUGGGUUGACGGUACCGGAGGAAUAAGCACCGGCUAACUUCGUGCCAGCAGCCGCGGUAAUACGAAGGGUGCAAGCGUUAUCCGGAUUCAUUGGGUUUAAAGGGUGCGUAGGCGGAGCGUUAAGUCAGUGGUGAAAUCCUGCAGCUUAACUGUAGACUUGGCAUUGAUACUGGAGCUCUUGAGUGCGCUUGAAGUGGGCGGAAAGUGCCGUGUAGCGGUGAAAUGCUUAGAUAUGGCACAGAACACCAAUUGCGAAGGCAGCUCACUAAGGCGAUACUGACGCUGAGGCACGAAAGCGUGGGGAUCGAACAGGAUUAGAUACCCCUGUAGUCC